This 567-nucleotide unclassified non-coding RNA is filed under the name Hevea brasiliensis (rubber tree). Lineage: Eukaryota; Viridiplantae; Streptophyta; Magnoliopsida; Malpighiales; Euphorbiaceae. The record is from RNAcentral.
CAAUUAAUAGUUAUAAUGAAAUUAUUUUAUGUAUAUUAAUUUUAUUAAAUAAAAAUUUAACCGCCAUAUAAUAAUAAUAAUAACAACUCAUGCUACAAGUAAACUACACAAAUAAAGUCCCACUAGAUAAAAGUAAAUACAUUUAAGCGGUUUAUAAUUUACUACUUACUCUAAGAAGGACCAUAAUGAAUUAUUUUUUUUUCUCUUUUGAUAGAAGUUUGCUCUCAUAAUGGUUCUAAGACCUCGUUCUCUGUUACACCUCCGACAACCUCCCUCUGCCCCUCUAGGCAAAGGGAGAUUGACUGCUUCUCCCUAACCAGCAUGUGGGUUCCCUCCCCCACUUGGGUGGGUUGUAUAAAAUUUUUAUUGGUUUUGUAAAUAGUUAGUUUAAACGUUGAGGGAAUAUGUGUGGCUGUUAUGGUGGAGCUAUUGUUAUGCUUUGUUUCUAUGUUUUCCUUGCGUUUGUGUUAUGUUGUUUUGCAGGGUAUUUUUAUGGUAACGUUUUCUUUUUUGAUUUGGCUUUGGGUUGUGUCUUUACACUCCUUUCAGCCAUGGGUUUUGAGAGAU